CGGUUUCCCCGGGCCUUGUACACACCGCCCGUCACACCACGAAAGUCGGCAACACCCGAAGCCAGUGGCCCAACCCCUUUGGGGAGGGAGCUGUCGAAGGUGGGGUCGGCGAUUGGGUG
Molecule: ribosomal RNA, 119 nt
Filed under: uncultured bacterium
Lineage: Bacteria
Description: partial 16S ribosomal RNA
Rfam family: Bacterial small subunit ribosomal RNA
Source: RNAcentral